GAUGAAGAACGUAGCGAAAUGCGAUAAGUAAUGUGAAUUGCAGAAUUCAGUGAAUCAUCGAAUCUUUGAACGCACAUUGCGCCCGCCAGUAUUCUGGCGGGCAUGCCUGUUCGAGCGUCAUUUCAACCCUCAGACCCCUUCGGGGGACUUGGUGUUGGGGACCGGCACAGGGGCCUGCCUGCUUGUCUUGCAGCGCCCUCGCCGCCCCCGAAAUGAAUUGGCGGCCUCGUCGCGGCCUCCCCUGCGUAGUAGCACAACCUCGCAACGGGAACGUGACGGCGGCCACUGCCGUAAAACAACCCAAUUUUAUUAGAGUUGACCUCGAAUCAGGUAGGAAUACCCGCUGAACUUAAGCAUAUCAAUAAGCGGAGGA
RNAcentral lists this unclassified non-coding RNA (373 nucleotides) under soil metagenome. RNAcentral describes it as "partial contains 5.8S ribosomal RNA, internal transcribed spacer 2, and large subunit ribosomal RNA". The stretch from base 1 to 120 matches the Rfam family "5.8S ribosomal RNA", at positions 35 to 154 of the family's 154-position model. The record is from RNAcentral.